AGGGUUCGAGUUCUGGCUCAGGACGAACGCUGGCGGCGUGCUUAAUACAUGCAAGUCGAACGGAGCUUAGCUGAUAGUUACUAGAGGCGAAAGCUUAGUGGCGGACGGGUGAGUAACGCGUGGGUAAUCUGCCCCUAAGUCCGGGAUAACAGAGCGAAAGUUCUGCUAAGACCGGAUACUCUUUACCAGUUGCAUAACGGGUAAAGGAAAGGUAACGCUUAGGGAUGAGCCCGCGUCCCAUUAGCUAGUUGGUGAGGUAACGGCCCACCAAGGCGACGAUGGGUAGCCGGCCUGAGAGGGUGGACGGCCACAUUGGAACUGAGACACGGUCCAGACUCCUACGGGAGGCAGCAGCUAAGAAUCUUCCGCAAUGGGCGAAAGCCUGACGGAGCGACGCCCGCGUGAACGAAGAAGGCCGUGAGGUUGUAAAGUUCUUUUCGGGAGGGGGAACGAGGCUGCCAGGCAAUGGGCGGCCGAUGACGUGAAUCCCGGAAUAAGCCCCGGCUAACUACGUGCCAGCAGCCGC
RNAcentral lists this ribosomal RNA (526 nucleotides) under uncultured bacterium. RNAcentral describes it as "bacterial SSU rRNA". It matches the Rfam family "Bacterial small subunit ribosomal RNA", at positions 1 to 518 of the family's 1533-position model. The record is from RNAcentral.